This 844-nucleotide ribosomal RNA is filed under the name uncultured bacterium. RNAcentral's name for it is "bacterial SSU rRNA". It matches the Rfam family "Bacterial small subunit ribosomal RNA", at positions 60 to 904 of the family's 1533-position model. The record is from RNAcentral.
AGUCGAACGAGGGUCCUUCGGGACUCGAGUGGCGAACGGGUGAGUAACACGUAGGGAACCUGCCCGUGCGACCGGGAGAACUUUCGGAAACGGAAGCUGAUACCGGAUAGGGACAGAGACGGCAUCGACUCUGUGUUAAAGGAGCUGCAAGGCUCCGCGCACGGAUGGACCUGCGGUGCAUUAGCUGGUUGGUGAGGUAACGGCUCACCAAGGCGACGAUGCAUAGCCGGCCUGAGAGGGCGGACGGCCACACUGGGACUGAGACACGGCCCAGACUCCUACGGGAGGCAGCAGUAGGGAAUUUUCGUCAAUGGGCGCAAGCCUGAACGAGCAAUGCCGCGUGAACGAGGAAGGUCUUCGGAUCGUAAAGUUCUGUUGAAGGGGAAAAAGAGCGGAGAGAGGAAAUGGUCUCCGAUUGAUAUUACCCUUCGAGGAAGUCACGGCUAACUACGUGCCAGCAGCCGCGGUAAUACGUAGGUGGCGAGCGUUAUCCGGAAUGAUUGGGCGUAAAGGGUGCGUAGGCGGCCUGCUAAGUCUGGAGUGAAAGGUACCGGCUCAACCGGUACAGGCUCUGGAAACUGGCGGGCUAGAGAGCAGGAGAGGGCGGUGGAACUCCAUGUGUAGCGGUAAAAUGCGUAGAUAUAUGGAAGAACACCAGUGGCGAAGGCGGCCGCCUGGCCUGUUACUGACGCUGAGGCACGAAAGCGUGGGGAGCAAAUAGGAUUAGAUACCCUAGUAGUCCACGCCGUAAACGAUGAGGACCAAGUGUUNGGGAAGACCCAGUGCUGCAGUUAACGNAGUGAGUCCUCCGCCUGGGGAGUAUGCACGCAAGUGUGAAACUCAA